CCCAUCCCUACCCCCUCUCCUUCUCGCCUGACUCAGCCGACAGCAGGAUGGGAAUGAAGGGCGCCCCACCAGCGUCCUCCAAUUUCCCGCUAUUCAGCUCAGACCUGAGUAGCAGCAGGCAGCCGAAAGGAUUUGCAGCUCUCUCCCAAAACAGCCCUCUUGGCCACCUCCCGCUUCCCACAUGGGCAAAGUCAGGACCACACCUGAGAAGGAGCCAAUUGGAGAAGACCCACCUUGGACCCUUCCUGGAGGAGAGGCAGUUCCCUGGCUGCCAGCACAAAGGCCAGGGCUGGGCCAACGUGCCUGCAAGGUCAGCAGCCACUUGGCUCUGGAAGCAGCUGCAGAUGUGUGGCCACACCAGCACCAGGGGACCCUAUUGUGCAUCUAUGCUGGGCUGGAAGACUGCAAAACCACUUGGCAGAAGACAUAAAUGAGAAAUCCUGUACCAAGUGUGUUCAUGCCCCGACCACAUACCACCUGCUCCAGACGGAUGCCCUCUCUGUUGCCCUCCCUGGCUCAGAUGCUCCUGAAAGCAGAGUCCGGGAUCCAGGCCUAGGGACAGGCACAAACUUAAGUAUCUACAUGGGUUGAAUUGUGUCCUCCCCAAGGCUAUGCUCAAGGUCUAACCUCUCAUUCCUGUGGAUGGAUCUUACUUAGGAAGAGGACCAAGUCCAGAGGAGCUCCCAUAGUGCUUCAGUGGGCUCUAACCCACUGAUGGACUUCCUUAAAAGAAGGAAGAUUUGGACCCAGAAACACUUCGGGAGACCACAAAGGCCUCAUAUUGGAGUAAUGUAUCUAUAAGCCCAAGCAUAAAAAGGAUUGCCAGCAUCACCUGGAAGCCAGUAGAGAGGUCUGGCCCUGACUCUCCCAAGAGCCUUCGGAGGGAACCACC
Molecule: long non-coding RNA, 892 nt
Filed under: Heterocephalus glaber (naked mole-rat)
Lineage: Eukaryota; Metazoa; Chordata; Mammalia; Rodentia; Bathyergidae
Description: lncRNA (ENSHGLG00100039855.1)
Source: RNAcentral